This 253-nucleotide ribosomal RNA is filed under the name uncultured bacterium. RNAcentral's name for it is "partial 16S ribosomal RNA". It matches the Rfam family "Bacterial small subunit ribosomal RNA", at positions 524 to 776 of the family's 1533-position model. The record is from RNAcentral.
UACGUAGGCAGCAAGCGUUGUUCGGAGUUACUGGGCGUAAAGGGUGCGUAGGCGGUCCUAUAAGUAUGGUGUGAAAUCUCCCGGCUUAACUGGGAGGGUGCGCUAUAGACUGUGGGACUAGAGUGUGGGAGAGGAAAGUGGAAUUCCUGGUGUAGCGGUGAAAUGCGUAGAUAUCUGGAGGAACACCGGUGGCGAAGGCGGCAUCCUGGAUCAAUACUGACACUGAGGAGCGAAAGCCAGGGGAGCAAACGGG